GAUGAACGCUGGCGGCGUGCCUAAUACAUGCAAGUAGAACGCUGAAGGAGGAGCUUGCUCUUCUGGAUGAGUUGCGAACGGGUGAGUAACGCGUAGGUAACCUGCCUGGUAGCGGGGGAUAACUAUUGGAAACGAUAGCUAAUACCGCAUGACAACAGUUAUUGCAUGAUAACUGUUUAAAAGGGGCAACUGCUCCACUACCAGAUGGACCUGCGUUGUAUUAGCUAGUUGGUGAGGUAACGGCUCACCAAGGCGACGAUACAUAGCCGACCUGAGAGGGGGAUCGGCCACACUGGGACUGAGACACGGCCCAGACUCCUACGGGAGGCAGCAGUAGGGAAUCUUCGGCGAUGGACGGAAGUCUGACCGAGCAACGCCGCGUGAGUGAAGAAGGUUUUCGGAUCGUAAAGCUCUGUUGUAAGAGAAGAACGAGUGUGAGAGUGGAAAGUUCACACUGUGACGGUAUCUUACCAGAAAGGGACGGCUAACUACGUG
Molecule: ribosomal RNA, 495 nt
Filed under: uncultured bacterium
Lineage: Bacteria
Description: partial 16S ribosomal RNA
Rfam family: Bacterial small subunit ribosomal RNA
Source: RNAcentral